RNAcentral lists this ribosomal RNA (497 nucleotides) under uncultured bacterium. RNAcentral describes it as "partial 16S ribosomal RNA". It matches the Rfam family "Bacterial small subunit ribosomal RNA", at positions 28 to 507 of the family's 1533-position model. The record is from RNAcentral.
GAUGAACGCUGGCGGCGUGCCUAAUACAUGCAAGUCGAGCGAACAGACGAGGAGCUUGCUCCUCUGACGUUAGCGGCGGACGGGUGAGUAACACGUGGAUAACCUACCUAUAAGACUGGGAUAACUUCGGGAAACCGGAGCUAAUACCGGAUAAUAUAUUGAACCGCAUGGUUCAAUAGUGAAAGACGGUUUUGCUGUCACUUAUAGAUGGAUCCGCGCCGCAUUAGCUAGUUGGUAAGGUAACGGCUUACCAAGGCAACGAUGCGUAGCCGACCUGAGAGGGUGAUCCGCCACACUGGAACUGAGACACGGUCCAGACUCCUAAGGGAGGCCGCCGUAGGGAAUCUUCCGGAAUGGGCGAAAGCCUGACGGAGCAACGCCGCGUGAGUGAUGAAGGUCUUCGGAUCGUAAAACUCUGUUAUUAGGGAAGAACAAAAGUGUAAGUAACUAUGCACGGCUUGACGGUACCUAAACAGAAAGCCACGGCUAACUACGUG